RNAcentral lists this long non-coding RNA (1970 nucleotides) under Brassica napus (rape). RNAcentral describes it as "long non-coding RNA (BNAP_LNC008315)". Lineage: Eukaryota; Viridiplantae; Streptophyta; Magnoliopsida; Brassicales; Brassicaceae. The record is from RNAcentral.
GACAGUAUGCCCUGAAGAUGGGCCAGUAGAAUGUGUCGGAGACAGUCUCCAGGGCCAUGGGUCGGUCUAGCUCGAACCACUGAGAGCCUUUACGCCAGUGGUGCAGGUGGAUGUGUGGAUACAUGCGGCGGCUGUAGCGGACGCGGCCGAAGGGGAGGUCGUAAGAAUCUACGUGGGUUUGAGUGGAGUUGAUGAGGUAAGAGUAGAUAGUGGUGAAGUUGAAGAGAGGGAUGCAUGAUUCCGAGAGGAGAAGGAAACGCUCGUUGUUGAUGUCUAAUAAUGCGUUUGCUAGUAACCUACGUUCUGCGUCUACCAUGUUUGCGUUUGCCCAGUCCACUCUCUGCGUUAAUACAUUAGGACGUUAGACUGUGAUCUCUUUGAUUAGAUACAAAUUUAUAUAUUCAUCAAUUGUGCAAUUGUUUUGAGAUUAUGUAGUUAUACUCAGGCCCGGCCCGUUAAAAUAAAGGGCUGGAAGCAAAAACAGAAUAUUGGGCCUGUUAUCAAGUAACUAAAAAAAGGGUUCCAAAGAUUCGAACCUCUCACCUGAAGCACUCUAAAUUCCAGCGUAAACCAACUAUGCUACAAGAAAUUUGUGAUAUUUUAGGGCCGGAAAAUCAUAUAUUUUAUAAAGGGCCGGAAGCACAAGCUUGUGCAGCUUGUACCCAGGGCCGGUACUGGUUAUACUACAAAGAAAAUUAAUACUAAUCGAACCUAUUUAGUUCAGAGAGGGUAAUUAGGUUAGUGGUUAAGUACACGGAUAACUAUAUGUAGAAUGGUAGAUAGAGCUUUUUUUUUUUUGAACAAAUGGUAGAUAGAGCUAUUUAAAAUAUAAAAUGUAGAAAGGUAGAUAGAGCUAUUUAAAAUAUAAAAUGUAGAAAUGUAGAUAGAGCUAUUUAAAAUAUAAAAUGUAUUCCAUUAUAUGCCAGAUGAGGAUAUACACAAGUCAUUGUGGUCUUUCUGUGAAUGGGCUAAAGUGUUAAACGCUAUUUGUCUUUUCCCCAAACCAAGCUGUUAUUGCAACAAACCAAAAUGGACAAGAGAAGGCAGAAAGGAAAAUAUUAUAAACGAUGGGGUUAAAGGCUGACCUUGCUCGGAAUGCGGCGGCCAAGAAACACCGAGCCUUGGGGCAUGGACUCUUUGUAAGACGGAUUGGUGUGAAUAUAAAUAGUGAAAAGACCUUCACACCCUCGAAAGAAUCUUUCCCAUAGAGGAGCCAGAGGUAAAGGUCCCCUUGUCAAGAACAUGAAAGCAACCUUAGGGGUUCGAGAGAAAGGGUAACUCCUGAUCUUAGGAUCCAUUGAAGCUCUCCAAAAGAGCUCGUUGUCUUCCAUAUUAUGCAUGAUGUUAAUCUUCGGUGGCCUCAGAAACAUUUCGAGCCCGGAGCAACUUAUCCAAAGCAUUAGACGAAAACUUGCGAGCAAAGAGAAAGCAAGGCCUCGUCUUAUCCACUCCUUUGUGUUCACAAUACUCUUUGUCACUCCUCCUAAGCCAAUUCAAGAACUCCACAUUCACCUCCGGCCCACCAAACGAUCUCGGAUGGGCCCUACGCUUCCCCCAGUCAGUCCACGUCAACGUCCUGUUUGAGUUACGCGACCCGAGGCUGGGCGUCAAGUUGAGUAGCGUCGGGAAGUAGUGCUCGUCGGGACAGCGACAGUAUGCCCUGAAGAUGGGCCAGUAGAAUGUGUCGGAGACAGUCUCCAGGGCCAUGGGUCGGUCUAGCUCGAACCACUGAGAGCCUUUACGCCAGUGGUGCAGGUGGAUGUGUGGAUACAUGCGGCGGCUGUAGCGGACGCGGCCGAAGGGGAGGUCGUAAGAAUCUACGUGGGUUUGAGUGGAGUUGAUGAGGUAAGAGUAGAUAGUGGUGAAGUUGAAGAGAGGGAUGCAUGAUUCCGAGAGGAGAAGGAAACGCUCGUUGUUGAUGUCUAAUAAUGCGUUUGCUAGUAACCUACGUUCUGCGUCUACCAUGUUUG